RNAcentral lists this ribosomal RNA (1391 nucleotides) under wastewater metagenome. RNAcentral's name for it is "bacterial LSU rRNA". It matches the Rfam family "Bacterial large subunit ribosomal RNA", at positions 1333 to 2702 of the family's 2925-position model. The record is from RNAcentral.
AACGCCGAAAACCCAAGGUUUCCUACGCGAUGCUCGUCAUCGUAGGGUUAGUCGGGUCCUAAGUCGAGUCCGAAAGGGGUAGACGAUGGCAAAUUGAUUAAUAUUUCAAUACCAACAUACAAGCGCGAUGUGGGGACGCAUAGAGUUAGUCGAGCUCACUGAUGGAAUAGUGGCUCGAAGGACGUAGGUUGAUACUUAGGCAAAUCCGGGUAACAUAAGACCGAGAUCUUACAGGCUCUUGACACUCUUCGGAGGAGAUGGAGAAUCGAUGAUACUGUCGUGCCAAGAAAAGCCACUAAGUAUAUUAUAUGUUGCCCGUACCGUAAACCGACACAGGUGGGUGGGAUGAGUAUUCUAAGGCGCGUGGAAGAACCCUGGUUAAGGAACUCUGCAAACUAGCACCGUAUCUUCGGUAUAAGGUGUGCCUACUUUGGUAUAUGGACUUGCUCCAAAAAGCUAGAGAGGUUGCAACAAAGAGUCCCUCCCGACUGUUUACCAAAAACACAGCACUUUGCUAACACGUAAGUGGAUGUAUAAGGUGUGACGCCUGCCCGGUGCUCGAAGGUUAAUUGAUGAUGUCAGCGCAAGCGAAGCAUUUGAUCGAAGCCCGAGUAAACGGCGGCCGUAACUAUAACGGUCCUAAGGUAGCGAAAUUCCUUGUCAGUUAAAUACUGACCUGCAUGAAUGGCGUAACGAGAUGGGAGCUGUCUCAAAGAGGGAUCCAGUGAAAUUGUAGUGGAGGUGAAAAUUCCUCCUACCCGCGGAAAGACGGAAAGACCCCGUGCACCUUUACUACAGCUUGACACUGUAGCUUGGAUAUUCAUGUGCAGGAUAGGUGGGAGGCUAUGAUGACUAGACGCAAGUAGAGUCGGAGCCAUCCUUGAGAUACCACCCUUGAAUAUUUGAGUUACUAACUGCGAUGAGUUAUCCUCAUUCAGGACAAUGUCUGGUGGGUAGUUUGACUGGGGCGGUCGCCUCCUAAAUAGUAACGGAGGCUUACAAAGGUUAGUUCAAAGCGGAUGGAAAUCGCUUGUUGAGUAUAAUGGCAUAAACUAGCUUGACUGUGAGACCUACAAGUCGAACAGAGACGAAAGUCGGUCAUAGUGAUCCGGUGGUUCUGCGUGGAAGGGCCAUCGCUCAAAGGAUAAAAGGUACGCCGGGGAUAACAGGCUGAUCUCCCCCAAGAGCUCACAUCGACGGGGAGGUUUGGCACCUCGAUGUCGGCUCAUCGCAUCCUGGGGCUGAAGUAGGUCCCAAGGGUAUGGCUGUUCGCCAUUUAAAGCGGUACGCGAGCUGGGUUCAGAACGUCGUGAGACAGUUCGGUCCCUAUCUUCCGUGGGCGUAGGAAAGUUGAAGAGAUUUGUCCCUAGUACGAGAGGACCGGGAUGAAC